GACGAACGCUGGCGGCGUGCUUAACACAUGCAAGUCGAACGGAAAGGCCCUGCUUUUGUGGGGUGCUCGAGUGGCGAACGGGUGAGUAACACGUGAGUAACCUGCCCUUGACUUUGGGAUAACUUCAGGAAACUGGGGAUAAUACCGGAUAGGAGCUCCUGCUGCAUGGUGGGGGUUGGAAAGUUUCGGCGGUUGGGGAUGGACUCGCGGCUUAUCAGCUUGUUGGUGGGGUAGUGGCUUACCAAGGCUUUGACGGGUAGCCGGCCUGAGAGGGUGACCGGCGACAUUGGGACUGAGAGACGGACCAGACGCCUACGGGAGGCAGCAGUGGGGAAUAUUGCACAAUGGGCGGAAGCCUGAUGCAACAACGCCGCGUGCGGGAUGACGGCCUUCGGGUUGUAAACCGCUUUCGCCUGUGACGAAGCGUGAGUGACGGUAAUGGGUAAAGAAGCACCGGCUAACUACGUG
Molecule: ribosomal RNA, 468 nt
Filed under: uncultured bacterium
Lineage: Bacteria
Description: partial 16S ribosomal RNA
Rfam family: Bacterial small subunit ribosomal RNA
Source: RNAcentral